RNAcentral lists this small nucleolar RNA (51 nucleotides) under Pyrobaculum neutrophilum V24Sta. Its description in RNAcentral is "PNEsR123". Lineage: Archaea; Thermoproteati; Thermoproteota; Thermoprotei; Thermoproteales; Thermoproteaceae. The record is from RNAcentral.
GUGAUGCGGUGUCCCUUUGCAGAGGCGGUGACGAGGUACGCCACAGGCUGA